RNAcentral lists this ribosomal RNA (433 nucleotides) under uncultured bacterium. Its description in RNAcentral is "bacterial SSU rRNA". It matches the Rfam family "Bacterial small subunit ribosomal RNA", at positions 29 to 507 of the family's 1533-position model. The record is from RNAcentral.
AACGAACGCUGGCGGCAGGCCUAACACAUGCAAGUCGAGCGAGGUAGCAAUACCUAGCGGCGGACGGGUUAGUAACGCGUGGGAACGUGCCCAAAGGUACGGAAUAGCCUCGGGAAACUGAGAGUAAUACCGUAUGUGCCCUUCGGGGGAAAGGUUUAUCGCCUUUGGAUCGGCCCGCGUUGGAUUAGGUAGUUGGUGGGGUAAUGGCCUACCAAGCCGACGAUCCAUAGCUGGUUUGAGAGGAUGAUCAGCAACACUGGGACUGAGACACGGCCCAGACUCCUACGGGAGGCAGCAGUGGGGAAUCUUAGACAAUGGGGGAAACCCUGAUCUAGCCAUGCCGCGUGAGCGAUGAAGGCCUUAGGGUUGUAAAGCUCUUUCAGCUGGGAAGAUAAUGACGGUACCAGCAGAAGAAGCCCCGGNUAACUCCGUG